CAGCAGCCGCGGUAAUACGUAGGGUGCGAGCGUUAAUCGGAAUUACUGGGCGUAAAGCGUGCGCAGGCGGUUUUGUAAGACAGGCGUGAAAUCCCCGGGCUCAACCUGGGAAUGGCGCUUGUGACUGCAAAGCUAGAGUGCGGCAGAGGGGGAUGGAAUUCCGCGUGUAGCAGCGAAAUGCGUAGAUAUGCGGAGGAACACCGAUGGCGAAGGCAAUCCCCUGGGCCUGCACUGACGCUCAUGCACGAAAGCGUGGGGAGCAAACAGGAUUAGAUACCCCCGUAGUCCCUGUCUCUUAUAC
Molecule: ribosomal RNA, 301 nt
Filed under: uncultured bacterium
Lineage: Bacteria
Description: partial 16S ribosomal RNA
Rfam family: Bacterial small subunit ribosomal RNA
Source: RNAcentral